Lingula anatina is the source of this 46-nucleotide non-coding RNA. NCBI's taxonomy places the organism in Eukaryota, Metazoa, Brachiopoda, Lingulata, Lingulida, Lingulidae. The record is from Rfam.
AAAACGGCCCUUUUCAGGGCCACUCACAAAUUCCUGGAAAAGCUAU